Molecule: long non-coding RNA, 3270 nt
Filed under: Mus musculus (house mouse)
Lineage: Eukaryota; Metazoa; Chordata; Mammalia; Rodentia; Muridae
Description: long non-coding RNA chr11:44646440-44649710
Source: RNAcentral
UUAACAAAACCAGCAGUAAGACAGACAAGUUUCUAUUUCCUUCCAGUGGCAUGCAACAAAGUAAGAAAAUAUGACCCAAAUUACUUUUUUUUCAGUCAUGACAAUUUGUCAAAAUGCUUAUUGGAAAAUUGCUGUGUGGUGUAGAAGGGGGCAUCUGGAGGCGACUGUUAGGUUACAUUUCUGUUCAAUGCCAAAUAGCUUGAUUAAGAAUCAUAAAACCCCAGCCUGUGCCCAAUGAUCCAGGUAUUUGGGCUGUGCAGACAUGGGAAAAGUCAAAUGUGUUAUGUUCAAUAGCUGAUGAACAGGAACUAACAACAGCAAAUUUCAUUAUCUUUGAGAUAAAGGGCUAUGUGAGGUAAUUAUUGUUAAAGUAAAAAAGCAAAAAAAUGACUUCCAGUUAUUGAAUUAAGGUGGGGAUUGAUUUAACAUUCACGCACGAACUCAGAUUUGAAUUUAAAAGGUUUGCAAUAAAACUCCUGUUUGGAAAUUGAAUACAUUGUAGUUUUAUUACUACAGUGGAUAUCCCUGUGUCCUAACCUUCUCCCUUGGAGUUAUCUUAGUUCAAUAAAUAAAACCUCAUUAGACUAUUCCCAUUUCAACGAGUUUAUUAAAUUUUGCAGGAGUAAUUAGCAUAAGCUGUGCUAAUUUUUCUGGAAGACUAAUGAGGGAGGUUCUUAAUUAGGUUUACUUUGUAGGAAUCAGAAGAGAGGAUAAAAGAGGACAAAAGUCACAUAGGGUCCUCUGAAUUGGGAACCCACUUUCUCAGAAUCCACACAACAACUUCUGUUUAUCUAUGGAAGCUUCAUUAUGUGCCCUUUAACUGUACAGAUUGAAAGUAAAGACUUUUAUUCUGUAUUUAGUUUGAAUUAGAACCCUUCCUUAGCUAAGAGAAAAAUUAUUUUCCUAGACUGUCUUGGAGUGGUGAGAUGGAUGAAUACAGAUGGCCUUACAAAAACAUCUCUUUCUUCAAAUUUUACCAUAGAGUUCCUUUCACAUGGAGUGCUGAUGCUUCUGGCUAGACUACCUAGGGACAGUGUGUCAGUUAAAAUCCAGUCCUUUCGGGAAUAUGGAUAAUAUGGUUUAAAUAACCUGCAAAUCUUGAGUCCCCCAGAGCUAGUAUUUAAAACUGAGACUUUUUUUUUAAAGGCCCAUCAGCACACAUACUAUUCUAAAUGACUUGCGUUUACUGGUUGCCACAGUCUUACCUUGUCUGUCUUUCCCACUUGGAAGAAUCUUGGCUUCCAUGCUUAGAGCUAAGAGAGACAGACCACAGCGACAUGAAGAGGAUAUAUGACUUUUGGGAUACAAAAUCCCAGCCUGUUUGGAAUUGUUCGUGCCACACUUAUCCAAAGCUCUCCUAAAAAGAAGAAAAAUGUAGUAUUCUUCUACAUCUAGGUCAUUUAGGUAAUAUCAACUGGCUUCGCAAUGAUUAUAAUGUAAAAUGGAAUAGUCAGCCAGGAAAUAGGUAGAAUGUUCAUUUUAUCUGCCAUAGGUCACUCAAAUAGAAGAUCUUGGCCAUGUUCAGAUAGAAAUUUUUAUUGAAGGUCUAUGUUUUAAUCUGAGAGGUCAGGGUGCUGAGGUCAGACUUGUAGGAGAGCAUUGUUAGGUCACCAUCAAGUUAGCUUCUUGAAUAAGUUGUGAACAUCAGCCUGACUGGGAAAGGACAGUGACAUGUAGACUCAGGUCACUUGUAGGCAGUGUUUACCAUUGGACAUGUGUGAGAGAAUUUAUUCCCUUGAAUUUCUGAAGUCAUAUGGGAUCUUCUAGCAAAUACCCCCGAUCUGUCUUAUCAUUUAUGGUAAAUCCUCAAAUCCAUGCAAAAUGCUGUCUGUCUCUGUCUAAUAACAAUGAAGUCCUUCACUUAGAUCAUUUCUCAACCCGCGGGUCUCGAUUCCAUUGGUGGGGAGUCUGGUGCCCCUUUCACAAGGGUUGCGUAAGACCAUCAGAAAACACAGAUAUUUACAUUAUGCUUCACAACAAUAGCCAAAUUACAGUAGUAAUUUUAUUGAAGUAGCAAUGACGUAAUUUUAUGGUUGGGGGUCACCACAACACAAGGAACUAAAGGGUUGCAGCAUUAGGAAGGUUGAGAACCAAUGCCUUGGGUGAACAUGAAGAUAUGCUCCCAAAUGAGACGCUUAGCCAGGUUCAUGGCUUCAGUUUACUGCUCUUUCAAGCCGUAUCUUCCUCUUCAUUCUGUCAUUUGGAAGGGCCAACGAGUGAGCAGAGAAUUUCAGCACAGCAUGCAAGCUGCUGCGUAGGUCACCAAGAACCAGAGGUGCAAAUGCAUUUCUCGGAGUUCUGAGAAACCUUCCAUGCCACUCAAUUCCGUAACUCUUGACUGUUCAGUUAAAACUGAAGGAAGAGGACUUCAUUCUCCAAAGCUGCCCUAGGCAGGAUAAUUGCUGUCCUUCUGGCUGCUCUGAGAGGCUUAGACCUUUUCACAGUGGAGAGUCAGCAUGGGUACGGAGCAUGAAUUUACAGUUGUUCUCUAGCCCUAGUGCAUUUAAAGAUUUGUUUUCUCAGUGGGAAUUCACAUGUGAUUAUUAGCAGUGAGACUUAUGUGAGCAAAUAUCAUUCUCAAUUUUACAUUUGUCAGAUGGUAGCAUUCUGAGGAUGAGCUGAGCCCUGAACACUUGGGCAUGGUUUGCUACUGUGAUAAAAAAAAAAUCACUAAUACAAUAAGCUAAUAGCAGUCUAGAUUCCAUUUACUACCAGCUAUUCUCAAAUACACAACCAGGAUACAUUAAAAUGCAUCUCAAAUAUGCUGACAGUAGAUCAUAAUGCAAAGUACUUUUACAGGUGUUACGCUAUAGUAGACACUGUCUAAUAAGCAACAGUGGUUUUCCUGUAAAGGAAACCAUGGCACAACUUCCAAGAAAUGUGUUCAGCAGAGCUUCAGGGCAUCGACAAGUGUGUGUGUGUGUGUGUGUGUGUGUGUGUGUACGCGCGCAACACACUUUUAUCUUUGCAUUUCAUGUCAUCAUUAAGUUUGUUUCUGUAACCGUUUGGGACAAUGCAGGAAAGCUCUGCAGUCUCAUGUGGUCUCAUGUAGUGUUGUAGCAGUUACUGGGCAAUGAUAGUUCAUGAGUAUAAUAAACAUGUUCUUACUUUCCAAUAGGUUGCUUUGAGUUGAAAACAAGCAAAGCAAAGCCCCUGUAAGGAUGGCUUCAUGGGUAGAAAUUCUCAUUCCAUGCUACUACCAGCACGUGGCUAAACUCUCUAAUUAAAAAAAAAAAUCUGGCCAGAUAUAAAUACCCCACCCCACCCCCC